This is a small nuclear RNA of Juglans microcarpa x Juglans regia, 118 nucleotides long. RefSeq annotates it as U5 spliceosomal RNA. The transcript has a single exon. The record is from RefSeq and is a predicted model, not a curated record. NCBI's taxonomy places the organism in Eukaryota, Viridiplantae, Streptophyta, Magnoliopsida, Fagales, Juglandaceae.
AGCCGCGCGGUGAGCACAAAGCGAACUAUUCUUUCGCCUUUUACUAAAGAAUACCGUGUGCGCGCCGCAGAUAGCGGCAUACGCCUAUUUUUGGAGGGGUUCUUCCUUGUGGAAGAGC